AAAUUGAAGAGUUUGAUCAUGGCUCAGAUUGAACGCUGGCGGCAGGCCUAACACAUGCAAGUCGAACGGUAACAGGAAGCAGCUUGCUGCUUCGCUGACGAGUGGCGGACGGGUGAGUAAUGUCUGGGAAACUGCCUGAUGGAGGGGGAUAACUACUGGAAACGGUAGCUAAUACCGCAUAAUGUCGCAGGACCAAAGAGGGGGACCUUCGGGCCUCUUGCCAUCAGAUGUGCCCAGAUGGGAUUAGCUUGUUGGUGAGGUAACGGCUCACCAAGGCGACGAUCCCUAGCUGGUCUGAGAGGAUGACCAGCCACACUGGAACUGAGACACGGUCCAGACUCCUACGGGAGGCAGCAGUGGGGAAUAUUGCACAAUGGGCGCAAGCCUGAUGCAGCCAUGCCGCGUGUAUGAAGAAGGCCUUCGGGUUGUAAAGUACUUUCAGCGGGGAGGAAGGGGAUAAGGCUAAUAACCUUGUUCAUUGACGUUACCCGCAGAAGAAGCACCGGCUAACUCCGUGCCAGCAGCCGCGGUAAUACGGAGGGUGCAAGCGUUAAUCGGAAUUACUGGGCGUAAAGCGCACGCAGGCGGUCUGUCAAGUCGGAUGUGAAAUCCCCGGGCUCAACCUGGGAAC
Molecule: ribosomal RNA, 631 nt
Filed under: Salmonella enterica subsp. arizonae
Lineage: Bacteria; Pseudomonadati; Pseudomonadota; Gammaproteobacteria; Enterobacterales; Enterobacteriaceae
Description: bacterial SSU rRNA
Rfam family: Bacterial small subunit ribosomal RNA
Source: RNAcentral